UUGAUCCUGGCUCAGAUUGAACGCUGGCGGCAGGCCUAACACAUGCAAGUCGAGCGGUAACAGGAGAAAGCUUGCUUUCUUGCUGACGAGCGGCGGACGGGUGAGUAAUGUAUGGGGAUCUGCCCGAUAGAGGGGGAUAACUACUGGAAACGGUGGCUAAUACCGCAUAAUGUCUACGGACCAAAGCAGGGGCUCUUCGGACCUUGCACUAUCGGAUGAACCCAUAUGGGAUUAGCUAGUAGGUGGGGUAAAGGCUCACCUAGGCGACGAUCUCUAGCUGGUCUGAGAGGAUGAUCAGCCACACUGGGACUGAGACACGGCCCAGACUCCUACGGGAGGCAGCAGUGGGGAAUAUUGCACAAUGGGCGCAAGCCUGAUGCAGCCAUGCCGCGUGUAUGAAGAAGGCCUUAGGGUUGUAAAGUACUUUCAGCGGGGAGGAAGGUGAUAAGGUUAAUACCCUUGUCAAUUGACGUUACCCGCAGAAGAAGCACCGGCUAACUCCGUGCCAGCAGCCGCGGUAAU
This 522-nucleotide ribosomal RNA is filed under the name uncultured bacterium. RNAcentral's name for it is "bacterial SSU rRNA". It matches the Rfam family "Bacterial small subunit ribosomal RNA", at positions 13 to 524 of the family's 1533-position model. The record is from RNAcentral.